GAGAGAGAGAGAGAGAGAGAGAGAGAGAGAGAGAGAGAGAGAGAGAGAGAGAGAGAGAGAGAGAAGCAAGCUGUGAUUUUGUACAUUUGAGUUAAGUAAAGUGAGAGGCAGGCAGGCAGUGGGUGAUGCUGUGUGAUGCAGGGUUUGUACAGAGCAGGGGCUACGCUGAACCAAAGACAAAAUAAAGAA
Molecule: long non-coding RNA, 189 nt
Organism: Portunus trituberculatus (swimming crab)
Lineage: Eukaryota; Metazoa; Arthropoda; Malacostraca; Decapoda; Portunidae
Exons: 2
Source: RefSeq, a predicted model, not a curated record